UCAGUCGGCCGGACGGCCGCUCCGGCAGGGGCCGAAAGGACGCCGGGGAGGAAAGUCCGGGCUCCCUUGACAUACGGUGCCGGAUAACGUCCGGCGAGGGUGACCUUAGGGAAAGUGCCACAGAGAACGAACCGCCCGCCGUCGCCCCUUCGGGGGCUUUGGCGAGGUAAGGGUGAAAAGGUGCGGUAAGAGCGCACCGCGGCUCCGGCAACGGAGCCGGCAUGGUAAACCCCACCGGGAGCAAAACCGAAUAGGGACGGCUUAAGCGGGCUGUUCGCGCAAGCGAUAACGCCGCGGGGCGAUGUCAGGCCCGCCGUCCGGGUAGGUUGCUCGAGGCCAUGUGCAAACAUGGUCCCAGAGGAAUGGCCGUCACGUAUCGUUCGCGCAAGCGGACGGUGCCUUACAGAACCCGGCUUACAGGCCGGCUGAUAUC
RNAcentral lists this RNase P RNA (433 nucleotides) under Bradyrhizobium sp. 186. RNAcentral describes it as "RNase P RNA component class A". It matches the Rfam family "Bacterial RNase P class A". From Rfam's summary of the family: Ribonuclease P (RNase P) is a ubiquitous endoribonuclease, found in archaea, bacteria and eukarya as well as chloroplasts and mitochondria. Its best characterised activity is the generation of mature 5'-ends of tRNAs by cleaving the 5'-leader elements of precursor-tRNAs. The record is from RNAcentral. Lineage: Bacteria; Pseudomonadati; Pseudomonadota; Alphaproteobacteria; Hyphomicrobiales; Nitrobacteraceae.